Molecule: ribosomal RNA, 868 nt
Filed under: uncultured bacterium
Lineage: Bacteria
Description: bacterial SSU rRNA
Rfam family: Bacterial small subunit ribosomal RNA
Source: RNAcentral
AGAGUUUGAUCCUGGCUCAGGAUGAACGCUGGCGGUAUGCCUUACACAUGCAAGUCGUACGAGAGUUUUUAACUCAAGUGGCGGACGGGUGAGUAACACGUAAGAAUUUGCCUUUAGGGGGGGGAUAACAACUGGAAACGGUUGCUAAUACCCCAUAUGCUUUCGAGUGAAAUGGAUUUCCGCCUAAAGAGAAGCUCGCGGCUGAUUAGCUUGUUGGUAAGGUAAUGGCUUACCAAGGCGACGAUCAGUAUCUGGUUUGAGAGGACGAUCAGACACACUGGAACUGAGACACGGUCCAGACUCCAACGGGAGGCAGCAGUGGGGAAUUUUCCGCAAUGGGCGAAAGCCUGACGGAGCAAUACCGCGUGAAGGAAGACGGCCUAUGGGUUGUAAACUUCUUUUCUCAGGGAGGAACUCAAUGACGUGUACCUGAGGAAUAAGCAUCGGCUAACUCCGUGCCAGCAGCCGCGGUAAGACGGAGGAUGCAAGUGUUAUCCGGAAUCACUGGGCGUAAAGCGUCUGUAGGUGGUUUAAUAAGUCAACUGUUAAAUCUUGAGGCUCAACCUCAAAAUCGCAGUCGAAACUAUUAGACUAGAGUAUAGUAGGGGUAAAGGGAAUUUCCAGUGGAGCGGUGAAAUGCGUAGAGAUUGGAAAGAACACCGAUGGCGAAGGCACUUUACUGGGCUAUUACUAACACUCAGAGACGAAAGCUAGGGUAGCAAAUGGGAUUAGAUACCCCAGUAGUCCUAGCUGUAAACAAUGGAUACUAGAUGUUGAACAGAUCGACCUGUGCAGUAUCAAAGCUAACGCGUUAAGUAUCCCGCCUGGGAAGUAUGCUCGCAAGAGUGAAACUUAAAGGAAUUGACGG